GACGAACGCUGGCGGCGUGCUUAACACAUGCAAGUCGAACGGAAAGGCCCUGCUUUUGUGGGGUGCUCGAGUGGCGAACGGGUGAGUAACACGUGAGUAACCUGCCCUUGACUUUGGGAUAACUUCAGGAAACUGGGGCUAAUACCGGAUAGGAGCUCCUGCUGCAUGGUGGGGGUUGGAAAGUUUCGGCGGCUGGGGAUGGACUCGCGGCUUAUCAGCUUGUUGGUGGGGUAGUGGCUUACUAAGGCUUUGACGGGUAGCCGGCCUGAGAGGGUGGCCGGCCACAUUGGGACUGAGAGACGGCCCAGACUCCUACGGGAGGCAGCGGUGGAGAAUAUUGCACAAUGGGCGGAAGCCUGAUGCAGCAACGCCGCGUGCGGGAUGACGGCCUUCGGGUUGUAAACCGCUUUCGCCUGUGACGAAGCGUGAGUGACGGUAAUGGGUAAAGAAGCACCGGCUAACUACGUG
This 468-nucleotide ribosomal RNA is filed under the name uncultured bacterium. Its description in RNAcentral is "partial 16S ribosomal RNA". It matches the Rfam family "Bacterial small subunit ribosomal RNA", at positions 28 to 507 of the family's 1533-position model. The record is from RNAcentral.